UCUGUUGUCACAGUAAUCUAUCCUUCUUUGUUUUUUUCUGCAGCAUAACUAUAUAUAUCAGUGCUUCUUGUGGGACUGGAGUAAGCUGGAUAUGUGCUUGAAGGACACAGCUUCACCUAGUGACAAGAUGCUGAGCAAUCCUCCUGGAGUGAGUAAAGAAAUGACCCAGGCACUGAGACGCUGUGUGCAGGGGUCAGUUUUCCAGGCAGGAGCAGCUGGUCUGUGCGUAGGGGUUGUCAGAAGAUGUGGCUUUCCCAGCAUGCAGGACUCUGAUAGCCCAGGAGAUAUGGUGUCAGUACACGUCCUUCAGUCAUGCACAGACAGGCUGGUACUGUGAAGGUCCCUCUGUCAGGCAUGGCCUCCCAUGGGAUGGGCACAGGGCAGUGAGCAGCCAUUCCUGUAACAGCUGUGAAAGGAUAAAUGUGGAGCAUGAAAUUUAGUAUUGGUCUUGUGGUUCACAGCUGCAGAGCAAGUGCUUGCUUGCACCUUGAAGUGUGACAGUGAGGAGACCUGUAGCAUCAGCAGCAGAGUUUCUUUUGCACAGCAAGGGAGGAGCAACUCUGGUAUGGCUUGUGUCCUGAAUUUGGACUCAUGCUUUUCCUCCUUGGUUGCUUUUAACCGUUUCAUAGGCUGCCUCUGCCCAUAGGUGGGAAAACAUUUGUGUGUAAAGGUACCUGUGAGCAGUCAGUGACAACCUUGUUGCUAUCCUCCCUUUUUCCCAUCACACAGAAUAGUGGGAAAUGAACAAAAUCAGGCUGUGUGAUAGAUAAUGGAGCAAUUGUAGCAUCCUCUGAUCCUUUGCUGUCUGGGUGCCCUCCACCCAUCACUGCACUGUGCAGGCUUCCUUGCAAGAUCACUUGUGACUUGGCAGGGGAUAGAAGUGAAGUACUGCAGUUGGCAAUCUUUUCUGUGUUGCCUGUAUUGUUUAACUAACUCAGUUUCCUUUUACAACAAGGUUAUCUGACCCCUUGUCUAAGGGAAGCCAGUACAGGUAAUCUCUUUGGUGUCAGCAAAGGUUUCGAUACAGUUUCUCAUGAUAUCCUUUCAGGCGAAAUGUCCAGCAUGCAGCUGGACAAAGACAUACUGAACAACUGGCUGACAAGUUGGGCUCAAAGGAUUGUAGUAAAUGGGGUUCUGUCAAGCUAGCAGGCACUAGUGGGACUCUGCAGGGCUCCAUUCAGGGGCCAGUCCAGUAUUGUUAUAGAUGUUGUAUAUGCAGAAGUUGAAUUAAUGCUAAAUAAGUUUGCAGAUGAUACUAAAUUGGGAGAAGGUGUUGACUCCCGUGAAGCUGGAUGUAGACCUGACAAAAACUACAGAGACAGCAGUUUGUUACCAGC
Molecule: long non-coding RNA, 1337 nt
Filed under: Phasianus colchicus (ring-necked pheasant)
Lineage: Eukaryota; Metazoa; Chordata; Aves; Galliformes; Phasianidae
Description: lncRNA (ENSPCLG00000016318.1)
Source: RNAcentral